RNAcentral lists this long non-coding RNA (451 nucleotides) under Coturnix japonica (Japanese quail). RNAcentral's name for it is "lncRNA (ENSCJPG00005019720.1)". The record is from RNAcentral. Lineage: Eukaryota; Metazoa; Chordata; Aves; Galliformes; Phasianidae.
AUUUUUAUAGUCUGAAGAACGUGUCUUUUGAGAGUAUGGACUUGUCCCCCUAGUGUAGCUGUUCUCCAAGCAACCUUCCUAACUGCAUCAUGCAGAGCCCUCUUCCCUUUCUCUGAUAGCCACACAAUCACCUUGUGGCUAACAAGCUAAUGUAGCUUUUGCUUCUGUGGGAAGUACCAUUUGAGAAGUAUUAAUGCACUUUGGCUUUCUGGAACAUGAUGAGGGAUUUUAUUGUUCUUUGGAUAAAAUUGGCCAUCAAUUUCUGCUUUUAGGUUUUAUUUCACUCCAACCCAGACAUCUGUUCUCCUCCAAGGUGGAAAUAAAGGAGAUAGGUUGGCAUCUGAUGAGCCAGCACUUCAAAGACCAGCACUGGCUUAGCUCCAGUUUCAGGAUUCUUGUUCCCGUACACAGCCUUCAGAUCUGUUCAAUGCUAUGCUAUAGUUUUCUAUGA